GUUUUGAUCCUGCAGCUCAGAUUGAGAACUGGCGGGAUGCUUUACACAUGCAAUCAGGCAGCACGGACUGGGAGUCUGGUGGCAGUGAACAGGUGAGUAAUGUAUCGGAACGUGCCUAGUAGCGGGGAUAACUACGCGAAAGCUAAUGCUACCUUACGCCCUUCGGGGAAAGCGGGGACCUUCGGGCCUCGCACUAUUAGAGCCGAUAUCGGAUUGACUGGUGGUG
RNAcentral lists this unclassified non-coding RNA (226 nucleotides) under uncultured Bordetella sp. Its description in RNAcentral is "partial 16S-23S ribosomal RNA intergenic spacer". The record is from RNAcentral. Lineage: Bacteria; Pseudomonadati; Pseudomonadota; Betaproteobacteria; Burkholderiales; Alcaligenaceae.